UGACGGCACUGGGGGUGCUCGCGCGCGUCCGCGCGCGGGCUGAGAACAUACCCUUCUGACCGGACCAUGGUAAUGCAUGCGUCGGGAAGUGCUUUCCCUCGGGG
RNAcentral lists this non-coding RNA (104 nucleotides) under Micromonas pusilla. RNAcentral's name for it is "TPP sequence". It matches the Rfam family "TPP riboswitch aptamer (THI element)". Rfam says of the family: Vitamin B(1) in its active form thiamin pyrophosphate (TPP) is an essential coenzyme that is synthesised by coupling of pyrimidine and thiazole moieties in bacteria. The previously detected thiamin-regulatory element, thi box was extended, resulting in a new, highly conserved RNA secondary structure, the THI element, which is widely distributed in eubacteria and also occurs in some archaea. The record is from RNAcentral. Lineage: Eukaryota; Viridiplantae; Chlorophyta; Mamiellophyceae; Mamiellales; Mamiellaceae. RNAcentral also lists the same sequence under 1 other name.